GUAGGGAAUCUUCCACAAUGGACGAAAGUCUGAUGGAGCAACGCCGCGUGAGUGAAGAAGGUCUUCGGAUCGUAAAACUCUGUUGUUAGAGAAGAACGUGCAUGAUAGUAACUGAUCAUGUAAUGACGGUAUCUAACCAGAAAGCCACGGCUAACUACGUGCCAGCAGCCGCGGUAAUACGUAGGUGGCAAGCGUUGUCCGGAUUUAUUGGGCGUAAAGGGAACGCAGGCGGUUUUUUAAGUCUGAUGUGAAAGCCUUCGGCUUAACCGAAGAAUAGCAUUGGAAACUGGAAGACUUGAGUGCAGAAGAGGAGAGUGGAAUUCCAUGUGUAGCGGUGAAAUGCGUAGAUAUUAGGAGGAACACCAGUGGCGAAGGCGACUUUCUGGACUGUAACUGACGCUGAGGCUCGAAAGCCAGGGGAGCGAACGGGAUUAGAUACCCUAGUAGUCC
Molecule: ribosomal RNA, 450 nt
Filed under: uncultured bacterium
Lineage: Bacteria
Description: partial 16S ribosomal RNA
Rfam family: Bacterial small subunit ribosomal RNA
Source: RNAcentral